RNAcentral lists this ribosomal RNA (471 nucleotides) under uncultured bacterium. RNAcentral describes it as "bacterial SSU rRNA". It matches the Rfam family "Bacterial small subunit ribosomal RNA", at positions 29 to 506 of the family's 1533-position model. The record is from RNAcentral.
ACGAACGUUGGCGGCGUGGAUUAGGCAUGCAAGUCGAGCGAGAGCCGCUGGGUAACUGGCGGGGACAGCGGCGCAAGGGGCAGUAAGGUGUGGGCAACGUACCCCCGGGACUGGGAUAGCCACGGGAAACUGUGGGUAAUACCGGGCGACGUAGCGAUGGGGCAUCCCGUUGCUACCAAAUGAAUUUCGCCUGGGGAGCGGCUCACAUGGUAUUAGCUAGUUGGUGAGGUAACGGCUCACCAAGGCUAAGAUGCCUAGCGGGUGUGAGAGCACGACCCGCGCCACUGGCACUGAGACACUGGCCAGACACCUACGGGUGGCUGCAGUCGAGGAUCUUCCGCAAUGGGCGCAAGCCUGACGGAGCGACGCCGCGUGUGCGAUGAAGGCCUUCGGGUUGUAAAGCACUGUCGAGGGGGAGAAAAGCCCGUAAGGGUCUGAUCUAUCCCUGGAGGAAGCACGGGCUAAGUUCGU